Helianthus annuus (common sunflower) is the source of this 2306-nucleotide long non-coding RNA. RefSeq lists it as uncharacterized. The transcript has 12 exons. NCBI's taxonomy places the organism in Eukaryota, Viridiplantae, Streptophyta, Magnoliopsida, Asterales, Asteraceae. The record is from RefSeq and is a predicted model, not a curated record.
UGACCCGGGUAUAUAAAUCACCUAAAAACCUAAAUUCCUGUGGCCUCAAUAUUUUCCUUCACUGGUUCACACCGAAACCCUAGCCUCCGUCUUCUUCUGCCAUCUGAGAGGUUCUACAAUCUUUUCUUUGCUAAAACCCUAGAUAUCUCUACUACUGUGCUUCCUCAGAUCAUAUUGGAUAUUCAAAAAUUUCUCUUCAUCUCAAUCACCAUCGAUUAUGUGGAUUUGAGGUCAUAAUUUCAUCGAAAAACUAAUGUUUUGUUGUAAUUCUUCUCUACUUGCAGACAUCCAACACGGAUUUUACAUGAAGAUCUGAAAACUAGGACAAAAUGCCCUAGCCGCCCCUUCAGCUUAUACGGCUAGGGUUCCGGUCAUUAGUCAUCCGUUUUUCGCUUUAGAAUCCAUGGUGUUUAGGUAUCCCCAAAUUAUUGUUUGUUAUAUUGAUUUUUAUUGUUUGCAAAUAGUGUGUUUGUUGGUUUGUGAUCUUAUAACCAGUACCCAAAGGAUAAAGAUUGAAAAUUUAUGUGUAUUGUUUGAUAAUUGAGGGUUUUUCAAAACCUGGAUAUGAUCAUUCUUUUCCAUAGAUGUUCCAAUACUGUUUCCAAGAUACGGUAUUAAUGGCCAAAACUGAAUAUGAGUAUCACAUAAUUCUGAUUUUUUUUGGGUAUGGAUUUUGAGUUUUAUACCUUUUCAAUAUGCUUUCACAUUCUUUUCCAUGCCAGACUAUUUUAUUUUACUAUAUUACUAGAUUACUAGAGUAAAAAGUGUGUCUUUGACUAUAUAAUUUAAAGUACGGGAAUCUACUGGGGUUUGUAUGCAAGUUCAGGGACACAAUGAUGCAUUUGCCUUAGAAUUGUUGGUAUCGUGAAAGCAACAGGUAUGAUAAAUUUAACAAACUUAUCAUCUUGGUUAUACACGCAUAUUUCGUAUUCAUUUUGUUUUCUUUUUUAUGAAAUAAGAAUUUAAUAUUUGUGGAAUGAUGGCAGCUUUGGUCAGCCUUUGGUUCAUCCUCAGUUUCUUGAGCAAGCAAGGAUGCCUUUGCCACUUGAAAUGGCGCAAGAGCCUGUUUACGUGAAUGCCAAAAAAUACCAUGCGAUAUUAAGGCGAAGGCAAUCCUGUGCAAAAGUAGAGCUUGAGAAGAAACUUAUAAAAGACAGAAAGCCUUAUCUUCAUGAAUCACGGCAUCAGCAUGCUAUGACAAGGGUAAGGGGCUCCGGUGGUCGUUUCAAAGGAAACUGACGUUAAUAAGAACACAACAGGUUCGGGUUCAAGUUCUACCAUGUCAUCAUCCCAGUCGGUGAAUUCAAACCGGGUGCACUUGAGCAAUGGAAAAGUAAAGCGGUUACUCAAGGUAUGUUAAUUUAUGCUAACAUUAUCUGUCAUGCAUUAAUGAUUAAUGGAUCAAGUUUACCAAACGGAAUGGUUUCUUCUUCUAAAAGCAAGUUCGAUGAUAAAAUAGAAGCAUCUUAUGCUAAAACGUAUUUCCAUUACUACGGGCAACUGCUUCAUCAGCAAAAUAUGAUGCAGGAUUAUGUGAGAACAGGUAAAGACGGGUCGCUUGGGUUGAUCAAAAGUCCUUUUGUCUAAAACGGGUAUACAAGGAAGAGGCUAUUAAAGGCAAGGAGAUAUACAAUAGCGAAAUGACGCAUUACAAAUUGUUAAUAUAGAUAACUUUCUCGAGCCCGGGAAGCAAUCCCAGCUGAGUACUCUACCUUCUCUGGAAUCAAGAAAGGAGCAGUUCUUCAGGAAGCUAGGGUCGUUAAUGAUCCUCAGUUGGAUUCAAGGAGGUGUUCUCAGGUUAUCACAAACCUGCUUAAUCUCUUGAAUAAAGGUGAUACCUUCACAAAUGUCAGAUCAUGUUUUAUAAACUGUCCAGAUGCUUUAUAAGUUUAUUUAUAUCUCACACGUUAAUAUGUCAAUUUCUUUAUAUGAUUUUCAUUAUAGAUUAGUCAUUAAUAAUUAAUAUAUAGAACUAAUGUGCAUUUGGUUAAUAAUUAAUAUAUAGAACUAACGUGCAUUUGGCUGAGAUCACUGUGUAUUAUAAUGACCUUAAAUGGUUCUAUUGAAUAGGUGUACAGUGUGACGGCUUCUUAUCACAAGGUCCGCAACCAUCACAUCCGGGUAAUCGUAAGUACUACCAUUCCUACUAAGCUUUGCAAGAGGGAGUUCACUAUAGAUUUGUGGAUUUUAUUGUUUUUUAUUUGUAAAUUUUGUUUGUAAUUCAAUUUUUGUUAUUUAAUUCAAUAUGUAACUUUGUUUAUAAGAAAUUUAUUAACACAAUAAUGAAUUAUAUAUAUUAUGUUCAA